This 251-nucleotide ribosomal RNA is filed under the name uncultured prokaryote. Its description in RNAcentral is "partial 16S rRNA". It matches the Rfam family "Bacterial small subunit ribosomal RNA", at positions 525 to 775 of the family's 1533-position model. The record is from RNAcentral.
ACGUAGGGGGCAAGCGUUGUUCGGAAUUACUGGGCGUAAAGGGCAUGUAGGCGGUUUAGUAAGCUUGGCGUGAAAGACCGCAGCUCAACUGUGGGGUUGCGUUGAGUACUGCUGAACUUGAGUUACGUAGAGGGAGGUAGAAUUCCUGGUGUAGGGGUGAAAUGUGUAGAGAUCAGGAGGAAUACCGAUGGCGAAGGCAAGCUUCUGGACUAUAACUGACGCUGAGGUACGAAAGUGUGGGGAUCAAACAG